Aspergillus wentii DTO 134E9 is the source of this 106-nucleotide transfer RNA. It matches the Rfam family "tRNA". Rfam says of the family: Transfer RNA (tRNA) molecules are approximately 80 nucleotides in length. Their secondary structure includes four short double-helical elements and three loops (D, anti-codon, and T loops). NCBI's taxonomy places the organism in Eukaryota, Fungi, Ascomycota, Eurotiomycetes, Eurotiales, Aspergillaceae. The record is from Rfam.
GACACUUUGGCCGAGUGGACUAAGGCGCUGCCCUGCUAUUUGGUUACUUUACCUAACCUGUCAGGCAGUAUCUUCGGAUGCGUGUGUUCGAAUCACACAGGUGUCG